CGCUGGCGGCGUGCUUAACACAUGCAAGUCGAACGCUGAAGCUCCAGCUUGCUGGAGUGGAUGAGUGGCGAACGGGUGAGUAACACGUGAGUAACCUUCCCUUGACUCUGGGAUAAGCCCGGGAAACUGGGUCUAAUACCGGAUACGACUCUCCACCGCAUGGUGUGGGGGUGGAAAGAUUUAUCGGUCUUGGAUGGACUCGCGGCCUAUCAGCUUGUUGGUGAGGUAAUGGCUCACCAAGGCGACGACGGGUAGCCGGCCUGAGAGGGUGACCGGCCACACUGGGACUGAGACACGGCCCAGACUCCUACGGGAGGCAGCAGUGGGGAAUAUUGCACAAUGGGCGCAAGCCUGAUGCAGCGACGCCGCGUGAGGGAUGACGGCCUUCGGGUUGUAAACCUCUUUCAGUAGGGAAGAAGCGAAAGUGACGGUACCUGCAGAAGAAGCGCCGGCUAACUACGUGCCAGCAGCCGCGGUAAUACGUAGGGCGCGAGCGUUAUCCGGAAUUAUUGGGCGUAAAGAGCUCGUAGGCGGUUUGUCGCGUCUGCCGUGAAAGUCCGGGGCUUAACCCCGGAUCUGCGGUGGGUACGGGCAGACUAGAGUGCAGUAGGGGAGACUGGAAUUCCUGGUGUAGCGGUGAAAUGCGCAGAUAUCAGGAGGAACACCGAUGGCGAAGGCAGGUCUCUGGGCUGUUACUGACGCUGAGGAGCGAAAGCAUGGGGAGCGAACAGGAUUAGAUACCCUGGUAGUCCAUGCCGUAAACGUUGGGCACUAGGUGUGGGGGACAUUCCACGUUUUCCGCGCCGCAGCUAACGCAUUAAGUGCCCCGCCUGGGGAGUACGGCCGCAAGGCUAAAACUCAAAGGAAUUGACGGGGGCCCGCACAAGCGGCGGAGCAUGCGGAUUAAUUCGAUGCAACGCGAAGAACCUUACCAAGGCUUGACAUGUUCCCGACCGGGCCAGAGA
RNAcentral lists this ribosomal RNA (965 nucleotides) under Citricoccus nitrophenolicus. Its description in RNAcentral is "bacterial SSU rRNA". It matches the Rfam family "Bacterial small subunit ribosomal RNA", at positions 34 to 1006 of the family's 1533-position model. Lineage: Bacteria; Bacillati; Actinomycetota; Actinomycetes; Micrococcales; Micrococcaceae. The record is from RNAcentral.